Long non-coding RNA from Olea europaea var. sylvestris, 425 nucleotides. RefSeq lists it as uncharacterized. The transcript is spliced from 2 exons. The record is from RefSeq and is a predicted model, not a curated record. NCBI's taxonomy places the organism in Eukaryota, Viridiplantae, Streptophyta, Magnoliopsida, Lamiales, Oleaceae.
UUCGUACAUGGGCUAAGGUUUGCUAUAAAUAGAGCGAGAACCCUAGGAAAUGCUCACUUUAUUUCCCUCCCGAAUUACUUCUAGGGUUCUGAAAAGAGGCAUCGAGUUUUAUUUAUCUCCCUAACCAUGAGAGCCAAGUGGAAGAAGAAGCGGAUGAGGAGGUUGAAGAGGAAGCGUCGAAAGAUGAGGCAGAGAUCCAAGUAGUCCUGUCCCAUGAUUUCCCGAGCAUCGAUCACUUUGGCUCUUUUAAGGGUUUCUUAUUUUCAUUGUUGUUUUGAUUUCGUUAAUUUCAAUCUGUUUCAGUACUGUGGUACGUUUUGGCACUGCAUUUGUAGUCCUAGUAUCCAAUCCACGGAUAGUUUAAUAAUUUUGAAAUAUCAUUUGAAUUUAACUGGUAUAUUAACGUGCUUUACUUUUUCAAUUCA